Molecule: small RNA, 98 nt
Filed under: Cronobacter sakazakii ATCC BAA-894
Lineage: Bacteria; Pseudomonadati; Pseudomonadota; Gammaproteobacteria; Enterobacterales; Enterobacteriaceae
Description: sroE RNA
Rfam family: sroE RNA
About the family: This family consists of a number of bacterial sroE RNA genes of around 90 bases in length. sroE is found in several Enterobacterial species but its function is unknown.
Source: Rfam by way of RNAcentral
AUAACGCAAACGUGGGAAGCGGCGUGCUUCCCGUGUAUGAUUGAACCCGCGAACCGCCCCAGCCACACCGGAGCGGUCUGUUUCGGGUUCAUUUUUUG